This 501-nucleotide ribosomal RNA is filed under the name uncultured bacterium. RNAcentral describes it as "partial 16S ribosomal RNA". It matches the Rfam family "Bacterial small subunit ribosomal RNA", at positions 30 to 523 of the family's 1533-position model. The record is from RNAcentral.
AUUGAACGCUGGCGGCAGGCUUAACACAUGCAAGUCGAGCGGAGCGAGGGUGCUUGCACCUUAGCUUAGCGGCGGACGGGUGAGUAAUGCUUAGGAAUCUGCCUAUUAGUGGGGGACAACAUUCCGAAAGGGAUGCUAAUACCGCAUACGCCCUACGGGGGAAAGCAGGGGAUCUUCGGACCUUGCGCUAAUAGAUGAGCCUAAGUCGGAUUAGCUAGUUGGUGGGGUAAAGGCCUACCAAGGCGACGAUCUGUAGCGGGUCUGAGAGGAUGAUCCGCCACACUGGGACUGAGACACGGCCCAGACUCCUACGGGAGGCAGCAGUGGGGAAUAUUGGACAAUGGGCGGAAGCCUGAUCCAGCCAUGCCGCGUGUGUGAAGAAGGCCUUUUGGUUGUAAAGCACUUUAAGCGAGGAGGAGGCUACUAGUAUUAAUACUACUGGGUAGUGGACGUUACUCGCAGAAUAAGCACCGGCUAACUCUGUGCCAGCAGCCGCCGUAA